RNAcentral lists this ribosomal RNA (429 nucleotides) under Bacteroidota bacterium. Its description in RNAcentral is "Bacteroidetes bacterium partial 16S ribosomal RNA". It matches the Rfam family "Bacterial small subunit ribosomal RNA", at positions 355 to 776 of the family's 1533-position model. The record is from RNAcentral. Lineage: Bacteria; Pseudomonadati; Bacteroidota.
UAGGGAAUCUUCGGCAAUGGGGGGAACCCUGACCGAGCAACGCCGCGUGAGUGAAGAAGGUUUUCGGAUCGUAAAGCUCUGUUGUUAAGGAAGAACGAGUGGGAGAAUGGAAAGUUCAUGCUGUGACGGUACUUAACCAGAAAGGGACGGCUAACUACGUGCCAGCAGCCGCGGUAAUACGUAGGUCCCGAGCGUUGUCCGGAUUUAUUGGGCGUAAAGCGAGCGCAGGCGGUUAGAAAAGUCUGAAGUGAGGGGCAGUGGCUCAACCAUUGUAGGCUUUGGAAACUGUUUAACUUGAGUGCAGAAGGGGAGAGUGGAAUUCCAUGUGUAGCGGUGAAAUGCGUAGAUAUAUGGAGGAACACCGGUGGCGAAAGCGGCUCUCUGGUCUGUAACUGACGCUGAGGCUCGAAAGCGUGGGGAGCGAACAGG